RNAcentral lists this long non-coding RNA (439 nucleotides) under Sorghum bicolor (sorghum). RNAcentral's name for it is "long non-coding RNA (SBIC_LNC017404)". Lineage: Eukaryota; Viridiplantae; Streptophyta; Magnoliopsida; Poales; Poaceae. The record is from RNAcentral.
UUGAUCUUAGCUACAUCUGUCCUUGGAAGUAUGCAACCAGUUUCAUCCACCACAUUCACUUUGUGCUACUUCUGUUCCUGGAAGUACCACCCGCAUAUACGCACUACACUCUGUGUAGUUUCUAUCCUGGAGACACGCAACUAUGUUGUUCCUACCCCUAGGAGUAUGCAUUCCUUCAUUCACCCACACACAUUCCACGUCCACUUAGAAAAUGUUCUACUCCUACACUAGGAGAAGACACCCAAAAAUAUUCAAUGUCUUAUUCUACUUAUCCAAUAAAGCCCCACUUGUCCCAGUUGAUACUCCCUAUUGUUGUCAUUGAAUUAAAAGAGAGAAAAAAGAAGAGAAAAAGAAUGAAAGAGGACAAAAGUCCUGAUGCAAAAGAAAAGAAAGACAACCAAAUCCUUGUUCUCAGAUUAGGGAGGCAUGCUAUCCCCAA